UUUUUUUUUUGAUAAGUAAUAUUUUAUUUCAUAAAGCCGAACUAAAGAAUACAAGCACACAAACUGUGGAAAAGAGACCACACUCCAACACUCUGAUUACAUUGGUUGUACUUGUCCUUUAAUGACCUCCUCCCAUCUACUGACCAAGUCCAAAAAGAUGAACCUCCUUCUUCUGAUCUAAUUUGCACUCCAGAACCAAAUCGUAGCCUUGAUGUCCCUAAUAAUCUGCUCCUCCUUGAAAGGCUUGUUGCUAAAAGUCCUUUGAUUCCUAGUUUUCCAUAGAAUCCAAAUAGUCGCAUAAGGGAGCAAUCUCCAGACUUUGUUACCCCACUCCUGUGGGCACCCUUUAGGCCACACCUUCAGCCACUCCACCACUGAAUCUACCCCCAGAAUCUGUGCAUACGCACCUACCAUGCAUUGGACUGAGCAUGAUGCUCCAGAUUUUCAGACUCACAGCACAAUGAAGGAACAAAUGAGGGAUGCUCUCAUUUAAGGUACCACACAUUCUACAGACAGGAGACACCAGGGUACCCCUAUGAAUGAGGUAAUCCGCUGUCAAUGUCCUAUCCAGCAGCAGUGACCAG
RNAcentral lists this long non-coding RNA (584 nucleotides) under Aquilegia coerulea. Its description in RNAcentral is "long non-coding RNA (ACOE_LNC000841)". The record is from RNAcentral. Lineage: Eukaryota; Viridiplantae; Streptophyta; Magnoliopsida; Ranunculales; Ranunculaceae.